RNAcentral lists this ribosomal RNA (765 nucleotides) under marine metagenome. Its description in RNAcentral is "bacterial SSU rRNA". It matches the Rfam family "Bacterial small subunit ribosomal RNA", at positions 503 to 1275 of the family's 1533-position model. The record is from RNAcentral.
CCGUGCCAGCAGCCGCGGUAAUACGGAGGAUCCAAGCGUUAUCCGGAUUUAUUGGGUUUAAAGGGUCCGCAGGCGGAAUAUUAAGUCAGUGGUGAAAUCCUACAGCUUAACUGUAGAACUGCCAUUGAUACUGGUUUUCUUGAGUACACCUGAAGUGGGCGGAAUGUGUCAUGUAGCGGUGAAAUGCUUAGAUAUGACACAGAACACCGAUUGCGAAGGCAGCUCACUAAAGUGUAACUGACGCUGAGGGACGAAAGCGUGGGUAGCGAACAGGAUUAGAUACCCUGGUAGUCCACGCCGUAAACGAUGAUCACUAGAUGUUGGCGAUAUAUUGUCAGUAUCUGAGCGAAAGCAUUAAGUGAUCCACCUGGGGAGUACGGUCGCAAGAUUGAAACUCAAAGGAAUUGACGGGGGCCCGCACAAGCGGUGGAGCAUGUGGUUUAAUUCGAUGGUACGCGAGGAACCUUACCUAGGCUUAAAUGUAGAUUGACGUAUUGGGAAACCAGUAUUUCUUCGGACAAUUUACAAGGUGCUGCAUGGUUGUCGUCAGCUCGUGCUGUGAAGUGUCGGGUUAAGUCCCAUAACGAGCGCAACCCCUAUCAUUAGUUGCUAACAUUUAGUUGAGGACUCUAAUGAAACUGCCCGCGUAAGCGUGGAGGAAGGUGGGGAUGACGUCAAAUCAUCACGGCCCUUACGUCUAGGGCUACACACGUGCUACAAUGGUGAAUACAGAGGGAAGCCAACUGGUAACAGUGAGCAAAUCCA